This 739-nucleotide long non-coding RNA is filed under the name Panax ginseng (ginseng). Its description in RNAcentral is "long non-coding RNA (PGIN_LNC011739)". Lineage: Eukaryota; Viridiplantae; Streptophyta; Magnoliopsida; Apiales; Araliaceae. The record is from RNAcentral.
ACUGAACCAUAUCCAACGACUAGCGCCGACAGGCGACGGCGACGGUAAGUCAUUACUCGUUAGAUGAUCUGUAGUCUGUAGAUCUGUAGUUCUGCACUCUUAGAUCUGAGAUCUGUAGUCCAUGCUUUUGGGGAAACAACUUGUAUGAUGUUUUUGUAGUACAAUGCUUCCUAAAAUUCUACUUGAAUCAAACUUUUGCCAAUCUUUUUGAUUACAUAUAUUUGAGAAUUUUAUUGUUGUCUGUUAAGAUAACUAUCGUCUAUCAAACACAUCUAUCACACUUUAACAGUAUUGAAGAAAUUGAAAAAGGUACAUCACAGUAACACUAUAACACUUUGUAUUGUUUAUUUAUUUUUUUGUAAUGUAGUUUAAAUUCUUCUUAAUAAAUUAUGAUUUGCUCACAUUUGUCUUUUAAAAAUUGCAGAAUUUUCAGCAGGCGAUUUAGAUGCAUCAAUCUUGGAUAUGUAAUAUGGUUGAUUUGCUCGAGAAUGUGGACUUGAUAGUUGAGAGAAUUGUGCCUUGUGCCGUUGUGCGUUGUUUGUUUUUAAUCUUGGAUUAGUUGGAUAUGUAAUAUGGUUGAUUGGAUUACUUGCUAGUGAGUAGUGGGUACUUUAGUUCUGUUAUGUUCAGCUGAUAAAAUGAUGUUAUGUUCUGUUAUGUUCAGUUUAUCAGGUUAUGUUUUAUCAUAUGGUUAUGACUUAUGAGGUUAUUUUCUGUUAUGUUCAGGUGAUAAAAUGAU